Molecule: small nuclear RNA, 152 nt
Filed under: Dasypus novemcinctus (nine-banded armadillo)
Lineage: Eukaryota; Metazoa; Chordata; Mammalia; Cingulata; Dasypodidae
Description: U1 spliceosomal RNA (ENSDNOG00000027258.1)
Rfam family: U1 spliceosomal RNA
About the family: U1 is a small nuclear RNA (snRNA) component of the spliceosome (involved in pre-mRNA splicing).
Source: RNAcentral
AUACUUAACUGGCAUGGGAGGUACCAUGAUCACAAAGGUGUUUUUCCCAGUGUGAGGCUUAUCCAUUGUACUCCAGAUGUGCAACUUCCCCAAAUGCGGGAAACUCGACUGCAAAAUUUGUGGUAGUGGGGACUGUAUUCACGCUCUCCUCU